Molecule: unclassified non-coding RNA, 200 nt
Filed under: soil metagenome
Description: partial contains internal transcribed spacer 2 and large subunit ribosomal RNA
Source: RNAcentral
UGUUCGAGCGUCAUUAUGACCACUCAAGCCUAGCUUGGUAUUGGGGUUCGCGUGCUCGCAGCCCUUAAAAUCAGUGGCGGUGCCGCCUGGCUCUAAGCGUAGUAAUGCUCUCGCUAUUGAGUUCCCGGGCGGUUGCUUGCCAAAAUCCCCCACUUUCUUAGGUUGACCUCGGAUCAGGUAGGGAUACCCGCUGAACUUAA